UCCACCAACCGCUGACCCACUCUCUCCCCCUUCCCUCGACCCCCCAGAUCCCACCUCCUCCAGUUCCAGCCGCCGCCGCUCGCCUCCAUCCUCUCCCCAACCCCGGUCGGCCUCCACUCCACUCCACCGCCGGUGCCAACCCAACCACCGCCGCCCUCUCCCCUCCUCUCCCCACACCCAAGAACGAGAGAGGGAGAGAGAGCCGACAGCCAGAUCCACUCACCAAGUCCCUCUCUGUCGCCGCCAUCUAGAUCUAGGCCGGACGAUUCCGGAGGCGCGCAACACACUCCUCGACUCCCUCAGGCCUUGCCUUGCCUCGCCACCCCACCCACAUCGCCGUCGCCGACCACUCCCUCCCCCACACGCCUCACCCUUCCUCGGACCACACCGCCGGCCUCCCUUCCCCUCCCCUAACUAGAAGAAGGAGAUGGCGCUCCCUCCCAGAUCCGCCAGCGUUGUCAGACCCGAUCUGGUUUUGUGAAGGAAGGGGCAUGCCAUGGAGAAAAUCCCGCGGGCAUCAGAUCAUCCAUGGCGGCCUAGGAGGAGCACCACCGGCUCAGGUUGCUCCGAUCUGGCUGUGUGAAGGGAACUAGAAAGGCCGAUCUACUGCUGCUGCUCUGCCCCCCUUGAACAAUCUGGUGAAGGACAAGUUGAUCCAUGGAAUUUUGAGCAGCUUCUUCAGCUGUUAUUUUGGUCGUGUGCUUUCAGCGGUUGGUUUGGUCGUGUGCUAGAGCCUAAUUAGCUAUAGGAACAAUUUAUACUUUACUUAAAGAUGUUACUGUUGUGUUGUAGCAAAUUUUAUUUAUGUCUACUGUUUUGUCCAGAUUAGAAAUAUGUGUGAUGUGUGCUUUCAAAAACUAAUGCUAUAUGUAGGCUUAAGAAAUUGAGCAAGGGAAACCAUUAUAUCCCCUUCCUUGUUUUAUAAACUAAAAUUCUGUCGGAUCAUACUAUGUAAAGUAACGGUUCUUUAUUCUGUGUUAUGGCAAAAGAAAAUAUGAUUGAAACAAUUUUGGCACAAGUCUGGUAUUCAUAUGAACCGUGAUGAGAAGCAGUACUCGUUCACUAGAGAGCUAUAAAUAUAAGUCAAAAUACCUGUGAAACAAGAUUUUAAAGGCUUCCAAUAUCUGAACAUUAAAGCUUAGCUGCUGUUGCAUUCUUUACUCUUGUCAAUUGUCUGACUGCAGAGAAACAAACACAUGAGAAAAGUUUCAGGUUGGCCACAUUGACAGUAUAAGUAAUUUGCCACAGCUUAUUACUCCCUGUUCUAUCAUAGGAUUCUCUAUCAGUCCUCUUCUGUCGUAGGAAUUUGCCACAACUACAAUGAAUUGCAAUGUCUCUUUAUACCAGUAAGUUAGUCUGAUGCUAGACUAGACGUCUCUUUAUGCAUGUUUAUUGUCAUGUCUAUUUAUAUGUGUAAAGUUGAAUCAAGUAGUAACAUGUGAACAACACUUGCACUGGUGUAUGUAAGGAGUUAAGUACAUGUUUGUUACAG
Aegilops tauschii subsp. strangulata is the source of this 1492-nucleotide long non-coding RNA. RefSeq lists it as uncharacterized. Lineage: Eukaryota; Viridiplantae; Streptophyta; Magnoliopsida; Poales; Poaceae. The record is from RefSeq and is a predicted model, not a curated record.